Molecule: non-coding RNA, 3211 nt
Organism: Camellia sinensis
Lineage: Eukaryota; Viridiplantae; Streptophyta; Magnoliopsida; Ericales; Theaceae
Source: RefSeq, a predicted model, not a curated record
GAUUACGAUAAAGAAUUGCUAUCUGCUAUAUUUAUUUGAUUGUAUCUGGUAGGUAUGUAGGAAAAAGAGUUAUCUCUUAGCUACUGUCCGUCUCUCUGAGUUUCUACUACUAAGUAGCACUUCUGCUAUUCAAUCAUAGAAUCGAUUCCGAUCAAGAUGAAAAAACCUUGCAAGGUAACGAAGUUCAAAUUUCUCUUACGCAAUUAGUAAGACACGAGGGAACAACCUUAGAGUGAUUCAGUCGAUACAGAGGCUUGACUACUUCGAUGGAAAGUUCUGAAAGAACAGAUUAGAUGUGAUUACCAAUCGGCUUACUACUGGUUGGCUUGACUUUGAGGUGAGGUACUUAUACUUCUUUUACAUUUUUUGCUGGGUUUCCAUUUCUUCCUCCUUCUUUGAAUUAUAGAGAUUGUAUACGCCUGUAUAAAAAAAAAAAGGUCGGGAUAGAUUCAGUGAAGCAUUAGUAUGCUCACGAACAGGCAUAGCAAUAAGCUCUGUCUUUGGUCCUUCCACGCUGCUAUCAACGAGUUAUGAAUUGCGAAAUCAGCAUCGAUUGGAGCUACUGAAUAAACUGCUAAAUCGAUUGCUUCUACUGAAUCACCUGCAAUGGAUUGUGAAUCCACCAUGUGCGGGUUCAAUUCCCAUCGUUUUCCCAUAACUAAUUCGCUACAAUCGGGGGUACCCAGGUUUUGAUUUCCCUACUUCAUAAUAGAUAGGCAGAUGCGAAGCAAAGGAAGAGGAAAAGGGCAGGCAUAAGCAGGAGAUGCCACCAUUGAUUGCCUAUAUUAGAUAGGAGAUAGGAUAGCGGACCCUUUCUCUUUCAAAAAUAAAUAACAAGAAUCUUGGUCGAAAAAUGGGACGCUACUCCGAUAGCUUCCUACUCAUAGCUAGGAGAGGAAUGAAAACUACAAGGUAAUGAGCUCAGAGGAAAGAGGCACGGGUUUGAGUCUUCUAUUGUUGAAAGAAUGAAAGAAUAGGGAGCUAACCUUUGAGAAGAAUCAAAAAUAAAAAUGGAAAGUGUUCAAUUGGAACAUGAAAACGUGACUAAAUGGGUCCUAUCGGGACGGAGUGGAAGAAAGGAGGAGAUUCUUGAACGAGGAAAAGGAUCCAAUGACUUAAAAAGAAUUGAACAAGGAGCCGUAUGAGGUGAAAAUCUCAUGUACAGUUCUGUAGAAUGGCAGUAAGGGUGACUUAGGCUGGUGGGAAAGGUGGUAGAGAAUAUAAUUCAAGACAGCCCUGGUGCUUUGAAAUAUAAAUCAAAUAUCAAGUCAUCAAGGGAAAUGGAAAGAGAGGGAUUCGAACCCUCGAUACAAAUAACUCAUACAAUGGAUUAGCAAUCUGUCGCUUUAGUCCACUCAGCCACCUCUCCCAAUAAAAAAAAAAAAGAUAAUUACUAUGUUACAUUACACGUAAAGUAAGGAUUAAAAAAAGUCCUUUCUCUCUAUUUAUGUUUAUUAUAUAGGUAUGGUACAAUUUUUUAUCAGCAAUUCCAUUUAGAUAAAAGAAGGGCUAGAAAGAUCCAAUAUAAAUAUAAAGAAAAAUCAAAAUAAAGAAUUCUUUUCUUUGAUUUUGUUCGAAAAGGCCUUUUUUUAUCCCAUGGCCAUGCUAGGUCAGUAUCUAGCCGGGCCUUUUUUUGUUCCAACGAAUGAUAGUAUCUGAUUGAAAAAAAAUACUUGCUAUUAAAGCAACAAGAAAGUGUCUUUUCUUAUUAUUCCUUUCUUCCUUUUUUAUUUGCUUUUUUUUUAACUACUCUACUGGAAUAAAAAAAAAUAAACUAUGAAUUCUUACACAACACAUUUUUUUGUUAUGAUUUCGGUGUUUUUAUCGAGCUGUGUCUAUCAAAUUUCCUCCAGUAAAAGAAAAGGGAAAACUUAUUUUUUAGCUAUUUAAAUGAAUCCUCCAGUAUGGCAUGGGUUACUUCAGCGCCGUAUUAGUUGCCACUCAUUUCUAAUUAGUUGGAAUCUUUUCCUUAAUCUAAGUGACAUUGGAAAUAUUUAUUGAUUGGUGCUGAAUUUUCUUUUUGAAUAGCAGAUAGGAGAACUUAAGAAAUUGGUGGAAGAGGGUAAAAUAAAAUACAUUGGUUUAUCAGAAGCAAGCCCAAACACAAUAAGGAGGGCACAUGCUGUUCAUCCUAUCACUGCUCUACAAAUGGAGUAUUCCCUUUGGACUCGAGACAUUGAGGAAGAAAUAAUCCCGCUUUGCAGGUGCUUCAUAUUGCUUCCAAAAUUCUGCAAGAAUCUUCAUCUUGAGGUUUUUUUUUUUUUCUCAAGUACAAAAGAGGUUCAUCAAGAGCACAUCAAUAAGAAAGGCCAAGAAUCUUCGUCUUGAGUUUACUUACAUUUUAUUCAAAAAUUUGGAGGCUCCUGUUCAAAUGUUGCUCUUUGUUAAAAUAAAAAAUUCAUCCACAAAAAGAUGUUUGAAAGGGCGGCUUUACUUAAUAGUAAGGCUUUCCGUUAGCACUCUUGGCGGCCCAAGUUCGAGUUACGGAAACCAUCUCUCCAGAAGUAGGGGGAACUUAGAAUUGCGAUAGUUCCAUAUUCCCCUACUGCUCAUGGGUUUUUUGCUGGCAAGGCAGUUGUGGAGAGUGUCCCCACAGAUAGCUUCUUGGAACAACUAAGAUUAAAAACCUUGAUGAGAAUAUUGGUGCCUUGAGAGUGAAGCUCACAGAAGACGCUUUAAGAGAUAUUUCAUGCAGUGCCCAUCCUCGAGAUUGCGGGGCCUAGAAUAUAUAAAAGUUUUACUUGUGUCUCGUAUAUUUUUGCGGACACACCACUGCCAAAGAAUUCCAAGUGAGUGGCUUUAUAUUUUUUUUGUGAUGGAAUUAAUGUUAAUAGUGUUUUUGUCAAUUUUGUAUUUCCUCUUGUAGCUUGUUGUGGCUUUGGUGUGUUGUCUUAACAACAUUGUGGCCACUGCAGCUGAAACCCGCGCAUGUUUGGAUGUGUUCCGAUGGUGUCAAGUUCGGGAUAUUCGAGUUCUUUCACAGAUUGCUUAUGGUUGGUCGAACUGCUUCGUGGUACAUCAUCAUGCGAUUGGGCCUCACAACCGCUAAUUUUGGAGAUUUGAUCUUUACUUAAUGGUUUUGAUUAUGUAAAUAUAUGUAAGGUAAGUCGGCAGGUAGUCUAGCAGGCUCAUGUUUUUGCUAAAACUGUCCUUCAUGGCAGUUAACAAGUAAUAUUUGGUUAUGUCUAUUAUGAAAGUUGGUUUGGCUUAA